GACGAACGCUGGCGGCGUGCCUAAUACAUGCAAGUAGAACGCUGAAGGGGGAGCUUGCUUCUCUGGAUGAGUUGCGAACGGGUGAGUAACGCGUAGGUAACCUGCCUGGUAGCGGGGGAUAACUAUUGGAAACGAUAGCUAAUACCGCAUAAGAGUAGAUGUUGCAUGACAUUUGCUUAAAAGGUGCAAUUGCAUCACUACCAGAUGGACCUGCGUUGUAUUAGCUAGUUGGUGGGGUAACGGCUCACCAAGGCGACGAUACAUAGCCGACCUGAGAGGGUGAUCGGCCACACUGGGACUGAGACACGGCCCAGACUCCUACGGGAGGCAGCAGUAGGGAAUCUUCGGCAAUGGACGGAAGUCUGACCGAGCAACGCCGCGUGAGUGAAGAAGGUUUUCGGAUCGUAAAGCUCUGUUGUAAGAGAAGAACGAGUGUGAGAGUGGAAAGUUCACACUGUGACGGUAUCUUACCAGAAAGGGACGGCUAACUACGUGCCAGCAGCCGCGGUAAUACGUAGGUGGCAAGCGUUAUCCGGGUUUAUUGGGCGUAAAGAGAGUGCAGGCGGUUUUCUAAGUCUGAUGUGAAAGCCUUCGGCUUAACCGGAGAAGUGCAUCGGAAACUGGAUAACUUGAGUGCAGAAGAGGGUAGUGGAACUCCAUGUGUAGCGGUGGGAUGCGUGAUAUAUGGAAGAACACCACUGGCGAAGGCGGCUACCUGGUCUGCAACUGACGCUGAGACUCGGAAGCAUGGGGUGCGAACAGG
RNAcentral lists this ribosomal RNA (763 nucleotides) under uncultured Streptococcus sp. Its description in RNAcentral is "bacterial SSU rRNA". It matches the Rfam family "Bacterial small subunit ribosomal RNA", at positions 28 to 776 of the family's 1533-position model. The record is from RNAcentral. Lineage: Bacteria; Bacillati; Bacillota; Bacilli; Lactobacillales; Streptococcaceae.